UGUCUGCAGUUUACGAAUUCGCCCUUCUUGGUCAUUUANAGGAAGUAAAAGUCGUAACAAGGUUUCCGUAGGUGAACCUGCGGAAGGAUCAUUAGUUGACAGGCCGUUCGCGCGGUACCUGAAACCCUCCUUACAGCGGCCGGAGUUCGGCGCAAGGGCGAAGCCCCUCGCGGGGCGGAGUCCGCCGGAAUCUCGCAAACCAUGCCUUGAAACUGCGGUCUGAGAGAAUGAUGAAUUAGCGAAAACUUUCAACAACGGAUCUCUUGGUUCUGGCAACGAUGAAGAACGCAGCGAAACGCGAUAGGUAAUGUGAAUUGCAGAAUUCAGUGAAUCAUCGAAUCUUUGAACGCACAUUGCGCCCCUUGGUAUUCCGGGGGGCAUGCCUGUUCGAGCGUCAUUACAACCCCUCAAGCUCAGCUUGGUGUUGGGGCCUGCCUACUGGCAGCCCUUAAAAUCAGUGGCGGCGCCAUCUGGCUCUAAGCGUAGUAAUUUCUCUCGCUAUAGGGUCCCGGUGGACGUUUGCCAACAACCCCUAACUUUCUAUGGUUGACCUCGGAUCAGGUAGGGAUACCCGCUGAACUUAAGCAUAUCAAUAAGCGGAGGA
Molecule: ribosomal RNA, 604 nt
Filed under: uncultured Helicodendron
Lineage: Eukaryota; Fungi; Ascomycota; Leotiomycetes; Helotiales; Helotiaceae
Description: eukaryotic LSU rRNA
Rfam family: 5.8S ribosomal RNA (bases 244-397)
Source: RNAcentral